UAAAAAAAGGUAAGCUACUAAGAGCGAAUGGUGGAUGCCUUGACUGGUAAAGGCGAUGAAGGACGUACUAGACUGCGAUAAGCUACGGGGAGCUGUCAAGAAGCUUUGAUCCGUAGAUUUCCGAAUGGGGCAACCCAAUGUAUAGAGAUAUACAUUACCUAUAUAGGAGCGAACGAGGGGAAUUGAAACAUCUUAGUACCCUCAGGAAAAGAAAUCAAUAGAGAUUGCGUCAGUAGCGGCGAGCGAAAGCGCAAGAGGGCAAACCCAGUGCUUGCACUGGGGGUUGUAGGACUGCAAUGUGCAAGAGCUGAGUUUAGCAGAACAUUCUGGAAAGUAUAGCCAUAGAGGGUGAUAGUCCCGUAUGCGAAAAACAAAGCUUAGCUAGCAGUAUCCUGAGUAGGGCGGGACACGAGGAAUCCUGUCUGAAUCCGGGUCGACCACGAUCCAACCCUAAAUACUAAUACCAGAUCGAUAGUGCACAAGUACCGUGAGGGAAAGGUGAAAAGAACUGAGGUGAUCAGAGUGAAAUAGAACCUGAAACCAUUUGCUUACAAUCAUUCAGAGCACUAUGUAGCAAUACAGUGUGAUGGACUGCCUUUUGCAUAAUGAGCCUGCGAGUUGUGGUGUCUGGCAAGGUUAAGCAAACGCGAAGCCGUAGCGAAAGCGAGUCUGAAUAGGGCGCUUAGUCAGAUGCUGCAGACCCGAAACGAAGUGAUCUAUCCAUGAGCAAGUUGAAGCUAGUGUAAGAACUAGUGGAGGACUGAACCCAUAGGCGUUGAAAAGCCCCGGGAUGACUUGUGGAUAGGGGUGAAAGGCCAAUCAAACUUCGUGAUAGCUGGUUCUCUCCGAAAUAUAUUUAGGUAUAGCGUUGUGUCGUAAUAUAAGGGGGUAGAGCACUGAAUGGGCUAGGGCAUACACCAAUGUACCAAACCCUAUCAAACUCCGAAUACCUUAUAUGUAAUCACAGCAGUCAGGCGGCGAGUGAUAAAAUCCGUCGUCAAGAGGGAAACAACCCAG
RNAcentral lists this ribosomal RNA (1017 nucleotides) under Campylobacter jejuni. Its description in RNAcentral is "partial 23S ribosomal RNA". It matches the Rfam family "Bacterial large subunit ribosomal RNA", at positions 1 to 1030 of the family's 2925-position model. The record is from RNAcentral. Lineage: Bacteria; Pseudomonadati; Campylobacterota; Epsilonproteobacteria; Campylobacterales; Campylobacteraceae.